Molecule: small RNA, 28 nt
Filed under: Bombyx mori (domestic silkworm)
Lineage: Eukaryota; Metazoa; Arthropoda; Insecta; Lepidoptera; Bombycidae
Description: ovarian small RNA-36810
Source: RNAcentral
UUAUCAACAAAAUUUACGCGUUGUGGUC